RNAcentral lists this small RNA (107 nucleotides) under Marmota monax (woodchuck). Lineage: Eukaryota; Metazoa; Chordata; Mammalia; Rodentia; Sciuridae. The record is from RNAcentral.
GCUGGGUGUGGUGGUGCCUGCCUGUAAUCCCAGUGACUUGGGAGGCUGAGGCAGGAGGAUUGCAAGUUUGAAGACAGCUUCAGCAACUUAGAGAGAUCCUGUCUCAA